UCUCUGUGAUGUCUCUCAGUAGAUCCUGCUUACCCUUCACUGUGUGCUCAAUAGAAUAGAAGGGAAGUGAAGAAACCCUUGGCUGAGAGA
This is a small nucleolar RNA of Patagioenas fasciata monilis, 90 nucleotides long. Lineage: Eukaryota; Metazoa; Chordata; Aves; Columbiformes; Columbidae. The record is from Rfam.